Molecule: long non-coding RNA, 880 nt
Organism: Lotus japonicus
Lineage: Eukaryota; Viridiplantae; Streptophyta; Magnoliopsida; Fabales; Fabaceae
Exons: 2
Source: RefSeq, a predicted model, not a curated record
AAUAAUAAUAAUAAUAAAUUAAAAAAUUUCAGAAUUUAUAAAAUUAUUAAUUAAUUAAAUACCAAAAUAAUAAUAAAAUACCAAAAUUAAAUUAGGUGAUUUUAGGUCAAGUAUUUCUUUCUCCCCAAGAUUGGUUCCAAAGAAUAUUCUAGAUAAAGAUCAGGAGUAGUGAGCAAGAAACCCUAGGUUAUAAAUAUAUGAGUCUCUUUCUGGUAGAUGCAGGUUCAAAAGGAUGUUCAGAGAGAGAGAGAAACAUAGUGAUCACCUUUGAGUUGUAGUUCCAUCUUUAAAUUGAGUUGUAGUUCCAUCUUUAAACUACAACUCUAAAAUACAAGAUACCGAGGAUGAGAGUGAGUUUUCUCAUUGCCCGAUUGGCAAAACAGCAUGAGGUAGUACCAGAAUCAUCAUGUGCUAAUUCGUCUUGUUCUUCAACCAGUUGACAAACUUCCAAACAAUGACAGGUGACGAUGUGAGCUGAUGCUACUCUACGUGGAAGAACAGUAGAAGACUCGAAGAGUAGAGUCGGAUGUAACGCUAGAACCUUUGGGUAGAGAAGCCUACUGUAAUGGUUUGAGUGUGCAGGAUGAUAUUAUGUGUUUGUAUUUGCGGAUUUGGGUAGGUUCUGGUGCAUUGCUUUCCUGCGAUUCUUCAGUGUGUAAAUCGUAGUGAGUAUAUCAGAUCUAUGAAGUCAUCGCAUAAUAGAUUCCUUGUCGAAUCUAAUUCUAUUUGUUGUGUUCAUCCUUCGUUAUUCCUUGGUCAAGGCUGGAUGUAAAAUUAUGUAUGCUUAGGAAUAUGCAAAGCAUGUUUUGGAAAUGCUUUGAAAAAAAAAUUAUAUAUAUCUGCAUUUGAAAACUACUUAUGAAAACAUGUUGCAUUUUUA